ACCUGGGUGGCUCAGUUGGUUGAGCGUCUGACUUGGGCUCAGGUCAUAAUCGCACAGGUUCGUGAGUUCGAGCCCCACAUCAGGCU
RNAcentral lists this transfer RNA (86 nucleotides) under Felis catus (domestic cat). It matches the Rfam family "tRNA". From Rfam's summary of the family: Transfer RNA (tRNA) molecules are approximately 80 nucleotides in length. Their secondary structure includes four short double-helical elements and three loops (D, anti-codon, and T loops). Further hydrogen bonds mediate the characteristic L-shaped molecular structure. tRNAs have two regions of fundamental functional importance: the anti-codon, which is responsible for specific mRNA codon recognition, and the 3' end, to which the tRNAs corresponding amino acid is attached (by aminoacyl-tRNA synthetases). tRNAs cope with the degeneracy of the genetic code in two manners: having more than one tRNA (with a specific anti-codon) for a particular amino acid; and 'wobble' base-pairing, i.e. permitting non-standard base-pairing at the 3rd anti-codon position. The record is from Rfam by way of RNAcentral. Lineage: Eukaryota; Metazoa; Chordata; Mammalia; Carnivora; Felidae. RNAcentral also lists the same sequence under 3 other names.